UGGGGAAUAUUGCACAAUGGAGGGAACUCUGAUGCAGCGACGCCGCGUGAACGAAGAAGGCUUUCGAGUCGUAAAGUUCUUUUAUAUGGGAAGAUAAUGACGGUACCAUAAGAAAAAGCCCCUGCUAACUACGUGCCAGCAGCCGCGGUAAUACGUAGGGGGCUAGCGUUGUCCGGAAUCACUGGGCGUAAAGGGUUCGCAGGCGGAAAUGCAAGUCAGGUGUAAAAGGCAGUAGCUUAACUACUGUAAGCAUUUGAAACUGCAUAUCUUGAGAAGAGUAGAGGUAAGUGGAAUUUUUAGUGUAACGGUGAAAUGCGUAGAUAUUAAAAAGAAUACCGGUGGCGAAAGCGACUUACUGGGCUCAUUCUGACGCUGAGGAACGAAAGCGUGGGUAGCAAACAGG
This 403-nucleotide ribosomal RNA is filed under the name Bacteroidota bacterium. RNAcentral describes it as "Bacteroidetes bacterium partial 16S ribosomal RNA". It matches the Rfam family "Bacterial small subunit ribosomal RNA", at positions 355 to 776 of the family's 1533-position model. The record is from RNAcentral. Lineage: Bacteria; Pseudomonadati; Bacteroidota.